CCUCUUAUGUACGCGUACCAGUAAUCCUAUACCAUGGGAAAGCUCUGAAGAGCACAGAAGUUCAGCCUCAAUGAGAAAUUUAAUAUCCAGUACUUUCUUUAUGGUAAUUGAAGGAACCAGAAGGCAACGCAAAACGAAAACUAUAGAAACCAGAUCAAGUCUGAAAUGUAAUGUGGUGUCGGAACUAUGACUCCACCAUAGCCAUUGCAUUUGAAACAAUUUAUGUAUGACUUUCAAUUUGCAGUGGCGUCAAUGAUUGAUAGUUCUUUUGCUUGUUUCGUUGGAUCAGGAGAACCAAAAAAAAACAGAAUAUAGAACUAUCAAUAUCCAGAAUUCAUUUUACUAAAACGUAAUAUUAAAGUUUGUUGUAUUUCUCUGCAGUAGAUUUUUAUUCUUUUCUGAUUUUUUUCUACAAGUCAGUAUUUCAGAAGUUUGUCCAGUAUCCUAGGAAAGAGUCGUAAUGCUAGCAGAGAACAGGUCACACGUUGGAAUCAUUGUAGUGAAUGCAAAUUGACAGUUGAAAGACUCGCAAUUUCAAAAUUAUUGUUGUAAUUUCAAGUGGUUGACUUACGUACGGCGUCGUUCAUGAUCUCGAUUGUGUUUAAUAAUAAAAUGUUUCAACCGGUAUGUACAUCGGAAACUGAUGGGCAAAAAACGGGAGGAAUCAAAAUAAAAUAAUCAUUUUUAGCUCCACAGAAGUUAAUCCUGUAAUGAUUUCCCUGCAGGUGGGAACUUUAAAGCUCAAAACUUUAUAUUCGUCCUAGAAGAUAAAAUAAAAAGUGGUCGCCUAAAAA
Daphnia magna is the source of this 794-nucleotide long non-coding RNA. RefSeq lists it as uncharacterized. Lineage: Eukaryota; Metazoa; Arthropoda; Branchiopoda; Diplostraca; Daphniidae. The transcript has 2 exons. The record is from RefSeq and is a predicted model, not a curated record.